Non-coding RNA from Capsicum annuum, 108 nucleotides. The record is from Rfam. NCBI's taxonomy places the organism in Eukaryota, Viridiplantae, Streptophyta, Magnoliopsida, Solanales, Solanaceae.
ACGUCAUGGUUGGGACAUUGUAUGAGUUUCCCAUUAAAUCUCUCCCAUUCCUCAUAUAGAGGAUCUCUAUUCAAUUGACAAAAAUUGGUUAUUUCAUUACAUAAUUGU